GAAAGAAAAUAGUUUUUUGACAGCAACUGAGGUUGCAAAAACUCAAAUCUCUUGAGAGUUGAGCUGCAAUCCCUCUGGGAAACAUCACUGUCUCAGAAUAAAUUUUUUUUCUCCAUUCUCCAUGGAAGGAGAAUGCAGUGAGGAAAGCAAAGAUGACUGGAUUCUAGGAGCAUGGAUGCAGGCAGCCAGUUGUUGCUGAAAACUGUCACUCUUCCAGCUUUGAGUGCUCUGAGUACUCAAGGGCAUGUGGGAAACGAAGGACUCAGUAAGGAUCAGCAGAGAGAGGCAUUUGAGUGCACCAGAAGUUUUUUAACAUGUGCUGAGAAUGGAGAACGUCUGAGUAGUAACAGCUUUUGUAGUGGUGUAGCAUUCUCCUGCUCCAGAACCCUGCACGCUCAGUUCUUCCAGUCCACAGAGCUCCCGCUGAUUUUAUAGAAGAUGAGAGUCCUCAAAGCUGCCUCAUAGGUGCUGCAAAGGAUGUGGAUGGCUUGUCCUUCUCCAGGAUGUGGGGAGAAGCAGAGCAUUAUUUGUCUCUCUCCAUUUUAUCAUUAAACAAGAAUCAGCUAGGCCAUCAGCAUCAAAUUAUCUCUUCAAAGACCUCUUCAGAGAAAUCCAUGCACCAUUCUAGAGACUGUCAAGAAGUGAUUUGCCCUGCCAGGCUUCUGGGAAAGCAAAAUAUCAAGGAUCAGACAAUGGAACCAAAAAUUCAGCGAAGAAAUUCAGAUAAAGGCUAGAGAAAAAUGAAAUCAAAUUUCAAAACUUUGCCUUUUUAUUGCAUUGUAAGUCUUCUGGUUAAAUCCACCAGGCCCUGGAUUUGGUCAGAUACGCAACAUCAAAAUAUAGUUUUACUCUUUAUCAGAAUGCUGUAUUUUAAGCCUGUUUAUGGUCUUUUAGUUCAGCAGUAUUUUCAUGGGCUGCCUUUCCCUUUUAGAGAUCAAAGACAAAAUUCAGUCUACACUGACAAACUCAAUUCUGGAUUACAUAUGUAUAUGAAAUGGUGUUUCGGUACCAUUAAACUGUUUCAGCUUUCAAGCAAAAUCUUUUCCUGUUCCCUGUUGGGAUGAAAAACAAGGCCUUUUGAAGUUUUAUGUUAAAAACAAAAACUUGGGAGAGACCCAUGCCGUCCCAGCUAAAUGCUUGGUGGUCAGAGCUCUCAUUUGUCUGAUUUGGAAUAAAAGACUGUAAGUACAUUUCCCUUAGACCAAGAAACAUCUCUGAAUACAGGGCUACAAAAAUCUCUAUAUCAG
Gallus gallus (chicken) is the source of this 1247-nucleotide long non-coding RNA. The record is from Ensembl. Lineage: Eukaryota; Metazoa; Chordata; Aves; Galliformes; Phasianidae.